GGAGCCUCCACAAUAAUAACCAGUUUGGUUUCAAAAACUGUGUCUUUGCCAUACAAAUUGCAGAGUGAUCAUCCCUGGAGGGAAGUCCGCUGAUAACAGAACAGAAAUGAAGCUCUGGAGCCAUCUGCACAUUUGUGCAGCCUGCGUAUUGGUUGAGAACUCAUGAAAAACCAGAAAAGAAUGUUGUGAAAAGGUGAACACUGGGAAAGCAUAUUAAAACAUUAAAAGAAGAGGGU
This 236-nucleotide long non-coding RNA is filed under the name Fukomys damarensis (Damara mole-rat). RNAcentral's name for it is "lncRNA (ENSFDAG00000023871.1)". Lineage: Eukaryota; Metazoa; Chordata; Mammalia; Rodentia; Bathyergidae. The record is from RNAcentral.